GAGUUUGCACAGCUGCUGCUGGAAGCAAACAUGUACUUUUAGCUGACCUGGGCUGAUGACUUCGGGCGUUAAAUCUGACGCUUUCCAGAUGUACAGACUUCUCCUGCCACAGUCCCCAAACAUUCAGUCCUCAGGGAACAAUGUGUAGCUGCUGUCAUGUCUCACAGACCUUAAGAGUCUCUGCACCAUGGCAGAUGGAGUCCUUGAGGAAACAGCCUGCAGGAAAGAUGAGACAUCUAAACCACAGCCCAGUGAGACUGUGUACUUACAGGAAAAUGAGGUUUUAAUGGUUUAUUGAACACAUUCAAA
Molecule: non-coding RNA, 309 nt
Organism: Cyanistes caeruleus (blue tit)
Lineage: Eukaryota; Metazoa; Chordata; Aves; Passeriformes; Paridae
Source: RefSeq, a predicted model, not a curated record